This 1325-nucleotide ribosomal RNA is filed under the name metagenome. Its description in RNAcentral is "bacterial LSU rRNA". It matches the Rfam family "Bacterial large subunit ribosomal RNA", at positions 1561 to 2925 of the family's 2925-position model. The record is from RNAcentral.
AGUGGAUGGGGAGCAACCUAGUUGUGCGUGUGUAAAGGUAGUGCCAAGAAAAGCGGUGAUCAUGAUGAAAAUCAAUUCCCGGUACCCGAAACCGACACAGGUGGGCAAGUAGAGAAUACUAAGGGGCGCGAGGUAACUCUCUCCAAGGAACUCGGCAAAAUGACCCCGUAACUUAGGGAGAAGGGGUGCCACCGAGAGGUGGUCGCAGUGAAGAGGCCCAGGCGACUGCUUAGCAAAAACAUAGGUCUCUGCAAACUCGAAAGAGGAGGUAUAGGGGCUGACGCCUGCCCAGUGCCGGAAGGUUAAAGAAGUUGGUCAGUCUUAGGAUAAAGCUAGCGACUGAAGCCCCGGUGAACGGCGGCCGUAACUAUAACGGUCCUAAGGUAGCGAAAUUCCUUGUCGGGUAAGUUCCGACCCGCACGAAAGGCGUAACGAUCUGGGCGCUGUCUCGGAGAGAGGCUCGGCGAAAUAGGAUUGUCUGUGAAGAUACGGACUACCUGCAUUUGGACAGAAAGACCCUAUGAAGCUUUACUAUAGCUUGGAAUUGUGUUCGGGCUUCCUGUGCGCAGGAUAGGUGGGAGGCGAAGAAGGUAUUCUUGUGGGGAUACUAGAGCCAACGGUGAGAUACCACUCUCAGGAGGCUAGAAUUCUAACUUAAUUAAGGACAGUUUCAGGUGGGUAGUUUGAUUGGGGCGGUCGCCUCCAAAAAGGUAACGGAGGCGUACAAAGGUUCCCUCAGACUGGUUGGAAAUCAGUCGCAGAGUGCAAAGGCAGAAGGGAGCUUGACUGCGAGAAGUACAGUUCGAGCAGGGUGGAAACACGGUCUUAGUGAUCCGACGGUGCUGUGUGGAAGGGCCGUCGCUCAACGGACAAAAGUUACUCUAGGAUAACAGGCUGAUCUCCCCCAAGAGUUCACAUCGACGGGGAGGUUUGGCACCUCGAUGUCGGCUCACCGCAACCUGGGGCGGAAGUACGUCCCAAGGGUUGGGCUGUUCGCCCAUUAAAGCGGUACGUGAGCUGGGUUCAGAACGUCGUGAGACAGUUCGGUCCAUAUCCGAUGUAGGCGUGAGAAUAUUGAGAGGAGCCUUCCUUAGUACGAGAGGACCGGGAAGGACGCACCGCUGGUGUACCUGUUAUGAUGCCAAUUGUAAACGCAGGGUAGCCAAGUGCGGAGAGGAUAACCGCUGAAAGCAUCUAAGUGGGAAGCCCACCUCAAGAUGAGUAUUCUGGUGUAAGGUCACGGGAAGACGACCCGUAAAUAGGCACGAGGUGGAAGUGCAGAGAUGUAUGAAGCCGAAGUGUACUAAUAGACCGUCGGCUUGACC